CGACGGGAGCGCGCCCGGCACCGCGAGGCCGCGUGGCCCGGGCGAGCGAGCGUCUCCUGGGGCGCAGGCCCGGCCACAGCUCGGGCCGCUCCCCGCCAGCCCGGGCCAUCCGCGACCUAGGCCGGCCGCUCCCACCCGGAGCGCCCACCCACGCCCACUCGUCCCUCCCAGGCCGCGGGCUCACCUUGCAGCCAGGAUCCAGAAGCCUCACAGGCCGGGACACAGCGGACGCGCGCGCCGAAAACCGAAACCGCCCCCGGCAGCGCGCUUUCCUGUUUCACCCAAUCAGCGGCCUCCUUACCUAUGGCAACCCGCGGGGAUCAAAAAUCAUCAAGACGCGCUAGCGAGCUGACUUCGUGAAGAACGGAUAGACUGCUAUCCAAACUGAACAAACAAGAUGCAGCAAAACUGAGCUUUGCCAAAACAGAGAUGUCUGAUAUGUCACCCCCAAAAGGGUUGAGAACCACUGAAGUAGAGCAAGGCAAGUAAACAGAGUUCCUCCAUGGUCUCUGCUUCAGUUCCUGCCUCCAGGUUUCUGUCUUGAGCUUCUGCUCUAGCCUCCCUCAAUGAAGGACUGUGCGCCAGAAGUGUAAACCAAAUAAACCCUUUCCUCCCUAAGUUGCUUUAGGUCAUAUUCUUUAUUACAGCCAUGAACAUCAAGCUAGGACAGUAGUCCAGGGUGAUUUCCAAAUAACCUGGCCACAAUAGCACACCUUUAAUUCUGGCAUUGCAUUCAUGUGUCAUUAUGCCUAGCAAUCCACCUCUAAUAUAUUGCAUAUUGGCUUCCAACAUACAGAUUUGGGGGGUACCAUCUUUCAGACUCUAACAGAGCAUAACCUAACAAGAACAAGAACAACAACAACAACAAAUCUGUUUUCCCUUAAGAAUCUCAAGAAAAAAAUGGUACCUUUGUUUCUGUUGUGACAAAAGGCACAUGUAUCUGGACACAUUUCAUGCAACUUCCCAAACAUAGGGAGGACUCGGGGCCUCCCAAGAGCAGCACCAUCCUGUUGUCUUCUUUCAUUGCAGGGCUAGAAGUGAUGUAGUACUGCAUACCUUUAGUUUCAGCCACUUGGGAGGCUAAGGCAAGAGGACACAGUGAAAACCUCAUCUAAAUAAAUACAUGAGUAAGCAGGAACAUCAAAGUGAGAAUUGGGGUGUGAACAACUUCCUCCAUGAAUUAUAAUUCGAGGUAAGCAGAAGGCCUGGCAGUCUUCUGUAUGUAUCGAAUGAGAAGCCUCUUUGCCGAUUGGGAUGAGAAGGAGCAAGAGCUUGUGAUUCUCACUGAAGACCAGAGGCAGCUUCUUUCUAUUCUAGGUGAUACGGAACGUGGGGCAGACAAACAGCUUCCGGUGUAGUCCGUGACCAGGACAGAUGCUCAGUGGGUCAGGGUCAGAAUGGCUGGCCCAGGCAUUGGCUAGAUUAAGCUCCAUCAUUGUUAGAUUGCCACCUGUUCCUUUUAAAAGUGUUUACCUAUUUUCUUUCUUCCUGGCAGAUAAAAGUUGCUCUUCACUAUACACAGAUGAAUAAAUGACUAAAUGAAUAAGUCCUCAACUGGUCCCAGGAUGAGAUUCUCUGAGUAUUACAGAUUCAUAAAUAUUAAAUGAAAUAUGAAG
Long non-coding RNA from Mastomys coucha (southern multimammate mouse), 1616 nucleotides. RefSeq lists it as uncharacterized. The transcript is spliced from 3 exons. NCBI's taxonomy places the organism in Eukaryota, Metazoa, Chordata, Mammalia, Rodentia, Muridae. The record is from RefSeq and is a predicted model, not a curated record.